RNAcentral lists this ribosomal RNA (371 nucleotides) under uncultured bacterium. RNAcentral's name for it is "bacterial SSU rRNA". It matches the Rfam family "Bacterial small subunit ribosomal RNA", at positions 527 to 896 of the family's 1533-position model. The record is from RNAcentral.
AGAGGUGGCAAGCGUUGUUCGGAAUUACUGGGCGUAAAGGGCGCGUAGGCGGCUUUUUUAGUCAGACGUGAAAUCCCCAGGCUUAACCUGGGAACUGCGUCUGAUACUGGAAAGCUUGAGUGCGGGAGAGGGAUGUGGAAUUCCAGGUGUAGCGGUGAAAUGCGUAGAUAUCUGGAGGAACACCGGUGGCGAAGGCGGCAUCCUGGACCGACACUGACGCUGAGGCGCGAAAGCUAGGGGAGCAAACGGGAUUAGAUACCCCGGUAGUCCUAGCCCUAAACGAUGAGUGCUUGGUGUGGCGGGUAUCGAUCCCUGCCGUGCCGAAGCUAACGCAUUAAGCACUCCGCCUGGGGAGUACGGUCGCAAGGCUG